UACGUAGGUGGCAAGCGUUGUCCGGAUUUAUUGGGUUUAAAGGGUGCGUAGGCGGUCUAUUAAGUCAGUGGUGAAAUAUGGCAGCUUAACUGUCAAGGUGCCAUUGAUACUGAUGGACUUGAGUGAAGUCGAGGUUGGCGGAAUUGACGGUGGAGCGGUGAAAUGCGCAGAUAUCAGGAGGAACACCCGUAGCGAAGGCGGUUCUCUGGGACGGUACUGACGCUGAGACGCGAAAGCGUGGGGAGCGAACAGG
This 253-nucleotide ribosomal RNA is filed under the name uncultured bacterium. RNAcentral's name for it is "partial 16S ribosomal RNA". It matches the Rfam family "Bacterial small subunit ribosomal RNA", at positions 524 to 776 of the family's 1533-position model. The record is from RNAcentral.